CAGCCGCCGCGGUAAUACGGAGGGUGCAAGCGUUAAUCGGAAUUACUGGGCGUAAAGCGCACGCAGGCGGUUUGUUAAGUCAGAUGUGAAAUCCCCGGGCUCAACCUGGGAACUGCAUCUGAUACUGGCAAGCUUGAGUCUCGUAGAGGGGGGUAGAAUUCCAGGUGUAGCGGUGAAAUGCGUAGAGAUCUGGAGGAAUACCGGUGGCGAAGGCGGCCCCCUGGACGAAGACUGACGCUCAGGUGCGAAAGCGUGGGGAGCAAACAGGAUUAGAUACCCUGGUAGUCCACGCCGUAAACGAUGUCGACUUGGAGGUUGUGCCCUUGAGGCGUGGCUUCCGGAGCUAAACGCGUUAAGUCGACCGCCUGGGGAGUACGGCCGCAAGGUUAAAACUCAAAUGAAUUGACGG
RNAcentral lists this ribosomal RNA (409 nucleotides) under gamma proteobacterium enrichment culture clone LiUU-15-338. RNAcentral's name for it is "bacterial SSU rRNA". It matches the Rfam family "Bacterial small subunit ribosomal RNA", at positions 509 to 916 of the family's 1533-position model. Lineage: Bacteria; Pseudomonadati; Pseudomonadota; Gammaproteobacteria. The record is from RNAcentral.